This 274-nucleotide ribosomal RNA is filed under the name uncultured Smithella sp. RNAcentral describes it as "partial 16S ribosomal RNA". It matches the Rfam family "Bacterial small subunit ribosomal RNA", at positions 1109 to 1382 of the family's 1533-position model. The record is from RNAcentral. Lineage: Bacteria; Pseudomonadati; Thermodesulfobacteriota; Syntrophia; Syntrophales; Smithellaceae.
CUUUAAUUGCCAGCAUUCAGUUUGGGCACUUUAAAGAGACUGCCGGUGUUAAGCCGGAGGAAGGUGGGGAUGACGUCAAGUCCUCAUGGCCUUUAUGCCCAGGGCUACACACGUGCUACAAUGGGUGGUACAAAGAGAUGCCAACUCGCGAGAGCGCGCCAAUCUCAGAAAGCCAUCCUCAGUUCGGAUUGGAGUCUGCAACUCGACUCCAUGAAGUUGGAAUCGCUAGUAAUCGCGGAUCAGCACGCCGCGGUCGAAUACGUUCCCGGGCCUU